GCGGGGACUCGAGGGACCGCACCCAGGACACAGUUACGCGACAAAAGAGAGCUCCGGAUACGGCGGAGGGCAGCCCGAGCCCCCCAUCCCUUCCAGAGUCCGAGAAGAAAUCCUGGCGCCCCUCGACCUUUCCGGGCCCCCGCUAUUUACACACACCGAGGUCUCACCACUCCCGCCCUGGCCUCUCGCCUCGUUUUCCGCCCUCCAAACGGACGGCUCUGAGGCCAGCCCUUCCCGGCUGUAUACAGGGCCCCAGCGCCCCGCCGGCUCGCUUUUCCCUGCUUCCCUGAAAGCAGCCGGGAGCCGCACGGCUUACUCACCAUAGUGGCUAGGGAUUAGGAGGCGAAGGCGACAGGAGCAGACACCGGGUCCCGGUUACCGUCCCCGACAAGCUAAGAGUCGAGAACAUGGACAAGAUGGCUGGGGUCCUGUGGAGUUCUAGUAAUCUUCUUACGAUAAUAAAGCAACCUUAUGCCAUAUGAUAUGCUAAGGAUGGAGGAAGAUAGAGUCUAGGUGCCUGAUGACAACAUGGAGCUGUCAAGCCCUGCAUUGCCUCCCCCUGGACGUCUCAUUAUGGGAGAAAAUGAAGCAAUUUGUUUAAGCCACACUGAUCUUUUUUCCUAUUUUUCUUUUUCUUUUGUUGAGUGUGUGUUUGUGUCUGUUAUUUACAGCUGAUUGUAAGUCAUAACUGAUGUGGUAGUGGGACUGUGUAAGUUUUGUCUUCUGAUGUUUUUCUUUUUUUUUUUCUUCUUCAGUGAAACAGGGAUGGGGAGAUCAUUAGCUAAAUGUAAGGAUUGGGGAAGGAGUGUGGGAGGUUUGUGGAGAGAGAAUGUGUGAAAUGUGGGAAGUUUGUGGAGAGAGAAUUUGUGAAAUAGUUAUCUCUGAAUGGUAGAGUAAAUUAAGUAGGGAGAGGUAGUAGGUCAUUCAGACAUCUGUGGUUGUAAAUAUAAAAUGAGAUCAGUCAUCUGGGUUGUAUUUUUCCCUAGUCAGGUUUACCUGCUCAGGAGAAGGUAUAAACCUGAUAGUGAAUUGGGUUUAACCAGGAUUUAUAUUUUGCUAAAGCCAUUGUGUCACCAUUUGUGAAAUAGAAGAAGAUACUGUAGAGUCACUAAGAAGACAGUUGACUGAAUGGAUUUAUAAAAACAUGUAGCCGGGCACAGUGGCUCAUGCCUGU
Molecule: long non-coding RNA, 1174 nt
Organism: Homo sapiens (human)
Lineage: Eukaryota; Metazoa; Chordata; Mammalia; Primates; Hominidae
Gene: TUBA1B-AS1
Product: TUBA1B antisense RNA 1
Source: Ensembl